This 673-nucleotide ribosomal RNA is filed under the name Rhodovulum sulfidophilum. RNAcentral's name for it is "bacterial SSU rRNA". It matches the Rfam family "Bacterial small subunit ribosomal RNA", at positions 53 to 772 of the family's 1533-position model. Lineage: Bacteria; Pseudomonadati; Pseudomonadota; Alphaproteobacteria; Rhodobacterales; Paracoccaceae. The record is from RNAcentral.
ACAUGCAAGUCGAGCGAACCCUUCGGGGUUAGCGGCGGACGGGUGAGUAACGCGUGGGAACGUGCCCUUCUCUGCGGAAUAGGCUCGGGAAACUGGGUUUAAUACCGCAUACGCCCUUCGGGGGAAAGAUUUAUCGGAGAAGGAUCGGCCCGCGUUAGAUUAGGUAGUUGGUGGGGUAAUGGCCUACCAAGCCUACGAUCUAUAGCUGGUUUGAGAGGAUGAUCAGCCACACUGGGACUGAGACACGGCCCAGACUCCUACGGGAGGCAGCAGUGAGGAAUCUUGGACAAUGGGGGAAACCCUGAUCCAGCCAUGCCGCGUGAGCGAUGAAGGCCUUAGGGUUGUAAAGCUCUUUCAGUCGUGAAGAUAAUGACGGUAGCGACAGAAGAAGCCCCGGCUAACUCCGUGCCAGCAGCCGCGGUAAUACGGAGGGGGCUAGCGUUGUUCGGAAUUACUGGGCGUAAAGCGCGCGUAGGCGGACUAUUAAGUCAGGGGUGAAAUCCCGGGGCUCAACCCCGGAACUGCCUUUGAUACUGGUAGUCUAGAGUUCGAGAGAGGUGAGUGGAAUUCCGAGUGUAGAGGUGAAAUUCGUAGAUAUUCGGAGGAACACCAGUGGCGAAGGCGGCUCACUGGCUCGAUACUGACGCUGAGGUGCGAAAGCGUGGGGAGCAAA